GCCUUCAUGAAGCCGGAAUUGCUAGUAAUGGCAGGUCAGCAUACUGCCGUGAAUACGUUCCCGGGCCUUGUACACACCGCCCGUCACACCAUGAGAGUUGGGGAUACCCGAAGCCUGUGAGCUAACUUUAUAAGGAGCAGCAGUCGAAGGUAGAAUCAAUGAUUGGGGUGAAGUCGUAACAAGGUAGC
RNAcentral lists this ribosomal RNA (188 nucleotides) under uncultured bacterium. RNAcentral describes it as "partial 16S ribosomal RNA". It matches the Rfam family "Bacterial small subunit ribosomal RNA", at positions 1314 to 1500 of the family's 1533-position model. The record is from RNAcentral.